RNAcentral lists this ribosomal RNA (485 nucleotides) under uncultured bacterium. RNAcentral describes it as "partial 16S ribosomal RNA". It matches the Rfam family "Bacterial small subunit ribosomal RNA", at positions 27 to 507 of the family's 1533-position model. The record is from RNAcentral.
GAUUGAACGCUGGCGGCAGGCCUACCCCAUGCAAGUCGAGCGGAUGAAGGGAGCUUGCUCCUGGAUUCAGCGGCGGACGGGUGAGUAAUGCCUAGGAAUCUGCCUGGUAGUGGGGGAUAACGUCCGGAAACGGGCGCUAAUACCGCAUACGUCCUGAGGGAGAAAGUGGGGGAUCUUCGGACCUCACGCUAUCAGAUGAGCCUAGGUCGGAUUAGCUAGUUGGUGGGGUAAAGGCCUACCAAGGCGACGAUCCGUAACUGGUCUGAGAGGAUGAUCAGUUACACUGGAACUGAGACACGGUCCAGACUCCUACGGGAGGCAGCAGUGGGGAAUAUUGGACAAUGGGCGAAAGCCUGAUCCAGCCAUGCCGCGUGUGUGAAGAAGGUCUUCGGAUUGUAAAGCACUUUAAGUUGGGAGGAAGGGCAGUAAGUUAAUACCUUGCUGUUUUGACGUUACCAACAGAAUAAGCACCGGCUAACUUCGUG